CCUACGGGAGGCAGCAGUGAGGAAUAUUGGUCAAUGGUCGCGAGCCUGAACCAGCCAAGUAGCGUGAAGGAUGACUGCCCUACGGGUUGUAAACUUCUUUUAUAAAGGAAUAAAGUGAGGCACGUGUGCCUUGUUGUAUGUAUUUUAUGAAUAAGCAUCGGCUAACUCCGUGCCAGCAGCCGCGGUAAUACGGAGGAUGCGAGCGUUAUCCGGAUUUAUUGGGUUUAAAGGGGGCGUAGAUGGUUUGUUAAGUCAGUUGUGAAAGUUUGCGGCUCAACCGUAAGAUUGCAAUUGAUACUGGCAGCCUUGAGUACAAGUGAGGUAGGCGGAAUUCGUGGUGUAGCGGUGAAAUGCAUAGAUAUCACGAAGAACUCCGAUUGCGAAGGCAGCAUACUAACCUGACACUGACAUUGAUGCACGAAAGUGUGGGUAUCAAACAGGAUUAGAUACCCGGGUAGUC
Molecule: ribosomal RNA, 460 nt
Filed under: uncultured bacterium
Lineage: Bacteria
Description: partial 16S ribosomal RNA
Rfam family: Bacterial small subunit ribosomal RNA
Source: RNAcentral